AGAGUUUGAUCCUGGCUCAGGACGAACGCUGGCGGCGUGCUUAACACAUGCAAGUCGAACGAUGAUGCCCAGCUUGCUGGGUGGAUUAGUGGCGAACGGGUGAGUAACACGUGAGUAACCUGCCCCUGACUCUGGGAUAAGCGUUGGAAACGACGUCUAAUACUGGAUAUGAUCACUGGCCGCAUGGUCUGGUGGUGGAAAGAUUUUUGGUUGGGGAUGGACUCGCGGCCUAUCAGCUUGUUGGUGAGGUAAUGGCUCACCAAGGCGACGACGGGUAGCCGGCCUGAGAGGGUGACCGGCCACACUGGGACUGAGACACGGCCCAGACUCCUACGGGAGGCAGCAGUGGGGAAUAUUGCACAAUGGGCGAAAGCCUGAUGCAGCAACGCCGCGUGAGGGAUGACGGCCUUCGGGUUGUAAACCUCUUUUAGUAGGGAAGAAGCGAAAGUGACGGUACCUGCAGAAAAGCACCGGCUAACUACGUG
This 485-nucleotide ribosomal RNA is filed under the name uncultured Curtobacterium sp. Its description in RNAcentral is "bacterial SSU rRNA". It matches the Rfam family "Bacterial small subunit ribosomal RNA", at positions 8 to 507 of the family's 1533-position model. The record is from RNAcentral. Lineage: Bacteria; Bacillati; Actinomycetota; Actinomycetes; Micrococcales; Microbacteriaceae.